This 73-nucleotide transfer RNA is filed under the name Stegodyphus mimosarum. It matches the Rfam family "tRNA". From Rfam's summary of the family: Transfer RNA (tRNA) molecules are approximately 80 nucleotides in length. Their secondary structure includes four short double-helical elements and three loops (D, anti-codon, and T loops). The record is from Rfam by way of RNAcentral. Lineage: Eukaryota; Metazoa; Arthropoda; Arachnida; Araneae; Eresidae.
GCCUUCGUUAUGUAGUGGUCAGCACGCUGGGCGCGUAUUCCAGAGGUCCAAGGUUCGAAUCCUGGCGAGGGCA